GGGCGGUUAGCUCAGCUGGUUUAGAGCGCCUCGUUUACACCGAGGAGGUCGGGGGUUCGAGUCCCUCAUCGCCCACCA
Molecule: transfer RNA, 78 nt
Filed under: Candidatus Dojkabacteria bacterium
Lineage: Bacteria
Description: tRNA-Val
Rfam family: tRNA
About the family: Transfer RNA (tRNA) molecules are approximately 80 nucleotides in length.
Source: RNAcentral